CCUACGGGAGGCAGCAGUGGGGAAUAUUGGACAAUGGGCGAAAGCCUGAUCCAGCAAUUCCGCGUGUGUGAAGAAGGCCUUCGGGUUGUAAAGCACUUUAGUUGGGGAAGAAACAGCUUGGCCACACCAAGCCUUGACGGUACCCAAAGAAUAAGCACCGGCUAACUCUGUGCCAGCAGCCGCGGUAAUACAGAGGGUGCAAGCGUUAAUCGGAUUUACUGGGCGUAAAGGGUGCGUAGGUGGUUUUGUAAGUCGGAUGUGAAAGCCUGGGGCUCAACCUCAGAAUUGCACUCGAUACUGCAAGACUAGAGUUCGGUAGAGGGCGGCGGAAUUCCCGGUGUAGCGGUGAAAUGCGUAGAUAUCGGGAGGAACAUCAAUGGCGAAGGCAGCCGCCUGGGCCUGAACUGACACUGAGGCACGAAAGCGUGGGUAGCAAACAGGAUUAGAUACCCUGGUAGUCCACGCUGUAAACGAUGAGAACUUGACGUUGGUUCGUUUUACGAAUCGGUGUCGCNNCUACGCGAUAGUUCGUCCGUCCGUCGGGAGGUACGGCCGCGAGGUAGAACGUACGAAGAGUAGUAGACGNGUGAGACGCGACGACGACGACGACGGAGGAGGAG
This 620-nucleotide ribosomal RNA is filed under the name uncultured bacterium. RNAcentral describes it as "bacterial SSU rRNA". The stretch from base 1 to 537 matches the Rfam family "Bacterial small subunit ribosomal RNA", at positions 338 to 873 of the family's 1533-position model. The record is from RNAcentral.